UACGUAGGGUGCGAGCGUUGCCCGGAUUUAUUGGGCGUAAAGGGCGCGUAGGCGGCCACGCACGUCCGUUGUGAAAUCGCCCGGCUCAACUGGGCGGGGUCGGCGGAUACGGCGUGGCUGGAGCAAGCUAGGGGGCAAUGGAAUUCCCGGUGUAGUGGUGGAAUGCGCAGAUAUCGGGAGGAACACCUGUGGCGAAGGCGGCCACCUGGACGACAACUGACGCUGAGACGCGAAAGCUAGGGUAGCAAACGGG
RNAcentral lists this ribosomal RNA (253 nucleotides) under uncultured bacterium. RNAcentral describes it as "partial 16S ribosomal RNA". It matches the Rfam family "Bacterial small subunit ribosomal RNA", at positions 524 to 776 of the family's 1533-position model. The record is from RNAcentral.